This 506-nucleotide ribosomal RNA is filed under the name uncultured bacterium. RNAcentral describes it as "partial 16S ribosomal RNA". It matches the Rfam family "Bacterial small subunit ribosomal RNA", at positions 30 to 523 of the family's 1533-position model. The record is from RNAcentral.
AUUGAACGCUGGCGGCAGGCCUAACACAUGCAAGUCGAACGGCAGCACAGAAGAGCUUGCUCUUUGGGUGGCGAGUGGCGGACGGGUGAGUAAUGUCUGGGAAACUGCCCGAUGGAGGGGGAUAACUACUGGAAACGGUAGCUAAUACCGCAUAACAUCGCGAGACCAAAGUGGGGGACCUUCGGGCCUCACACCAUCGGAUGUGCCCAGCUGGGAUUAGCUAGUAGGUGGGGUAAUGGCUCACCUAGGCGACGAUCCCUAGCUGGUCUGAGAGGAUGACCAGCCACACUGGAACUGAGACACGGUCCAGACUCCUACGGGAGGCAGCAGUGGGGAAUAUUGCACAAUGGGCGCAAGCCUGAUGCAGCCAUGCCGCGUGUAUGAAGAAGGCCUUCGGGUUGUAAAGUACUUUCAGCGGGGAGGAAGGCGACGUGGUUAAUAACCGCGUCGAUUGACGUUACCCGCAGAAGAAGCACCGGCUAACUCCGUGCCAGCAGCCGCCGUAA